This 83-nucleotide transfer RNA is filed under the name Alphaproteobacteria bacterium. Its description in RNAcentral is "tRNA-Tyr". It matches the Rfam family "tRNA". From Rfam's summary of the family: Transfer RNA (tRNA) molecules are approximately 80 nucleotides in length. Their secondary structure includes four short double-helical elements and three loops (D, anti-codon, and T loops). Further hydrogen bonds mediate the characteristic L-shaped molecular structure. tRNAs have two regions of fundamental functional importance: the anti-codon, which is responsible for specific mRNA codon recognition, and the 3' end, to which the tRNAs corresponding amino acid is attached (by aminoacyl-tRNA synthetases). tRNAs cope with the degeneracy of the genetic code in two manners: having more than one tRNA (with a specific anti-codon) for a particular amino acid; and 'wobble' base-pairing, i.e. permitting non-standard base-pairing at the 3rd anti-codon position. The record is from RNAcentral. Lineage: Bacteria; Pseudomonadati; Pseudomonadota; Alphaproteobacteria.
GGUGGGGUGGCCGAGUGGUUAAUGGCAGCAGACUGUAAAUCUGCCCGCGAGAGCGUACGAUAGUUCGAAUCUAUCCCCCACCA